This 75-nucleotide transfer RNA is filed under the name Cordylochernes scorpioides. Its description in RNAcentral is "tRNA-Thr". It matches the Rfam family "tRNA". Rfam says of the family: Transfer RNA (tRNA) molecules are approximately 80 nucleotides in length. Their secondary structure includes four short double-helical elements and three loops (D, anti-codon, and T loops). Further hydrogen bonds mediate the characteristic L-shaped molecular structure. tRNAs have two regions of fundamental functional importance: the anti-codon, which is responsible for specific mRNA codon recognition, and the 3' end, to which the tRNAs corresponding amino acid is attached (by aminoacyl-tRNA synthetases). tRNAs cope with the degeneracy of the genetic code in two manners: having more than one tRNA (with a specific anti-codon) for a particular amino acid; and 'wobble' base-pairing, i.e. permitting non-standard base-pairing at the 3rd anti-codon position. Lineage: Eukaryota; Metazoa; Arthropoda; Arachnida; Pseudoscorpiones; Chernetidae. The record is from RNAcentral.
GUCCAUGGUAGCCUAGUGGACAUGGCAUCUGUCUGGUAAGCAGAACACUGUGGGUUCAAUUCCCAUCCCUGUACC